Molecule: transfer RNA, 70 nt
Filed under: Dipodomys ordii (Ord's kangaroo rat)
Lineage: Eukaryota; Metazoa; Chordata; Mammalia; Rodentia; Heteromyidae
Rfam family: tRNA
About the family: Transfer RNA (tRNA) molecules are approximately 80 nucleotides in length. Their secondary structure includes four short double-helical elements and three loops (D, anti-codon, and T loops).
Source: Rfam by way of RNAcentral
GGGAGUGUGGCUUACUGGUAGAGUGCUUGCUUAGUAUGCAUGAAGCCCUGGGUUCAAUUCCUCAGCACCA